CAGAGACACAACCCUUGUGUGACUGAGAUCACCUCCCAGUCCAUCCUUCUCAAAGCAACAGAAAGAAAAAAUGAUAUUGUGGCUCCAUUUUGUAUUCUUGUUUGUGCUCUUUAAAGAUGUCCAGUCACAGGUACGGUUGGAAGAGUCUGGAGGGGAUGUAAAGAGGCCUGGAGAGUCUGUCCGCCUCUCCUGCCAAGCCUCUGGGUUCACCUUCAGUAGCUAUUACAUGGCUUGGGUGAGGCAGGCUCAUGGGAAAGGACUGGAAUGGAUUGCAUAUAUAACCAAUACCGGGAGCUCACAGUAUUACGCUGACUCUGUGAAAGGACGCUUCACCAUCUCCAGGAACAAUCCCGCCAACAUGCUGUAUCUGCAAAUGAACAGCCUGAAAGCUGAGGACACUGCCAUGUAUUACUGUGCGAGACUGAAAUGGGACAGUACCAUAGCCUACUGUAACUAUUUUAAUAGUUGGUGGAAUAGUAUAGCAUGA
Molecule: non-coding RNA, 487 nt
Organism: Hemicordylus capensis (graceful crag lizard)
Lineage: Eukaryota; Metazoa; Chordata; Lepidosauria; Squamata; Cordylidae
Source: the annotation of a RefSeq genome assembly